Long non-coding RNA from Capsicum annuum, 552 nucleotides. RefSeq lists it as uncharacterized. The transcript is spliced from 2 exons. Lineage: Eukaryota; Viridiplantae; Streptophyta; Magnoliopsida; Solanales; Solanaceae. The record is from RefSeq and is a predicted model, not a curated record.
AAUCUUGUCUAUACUAUAAAUGCCUACUUCCAUGAAGUAAAUGAAACAUCUGCUAUCUAUCUUUGAAUCAAGUUAACUAAGAUAUGGCUUCCUUAAAGCAAGCUUUUCUCCUCAUUGCUUUCUUUGUUGUAAUUUCAGUUAAUCUCUCUUGGAGUCCUAAAGUGAUGGCUUUAAGAAACUUACCAAUUGCUAUUGCAGAGGUCAUAAAAGGAAAAUUACUUCUUCCAAUUGGUAAUAAAGAAAUGACUUGUUAUCGAACUUGCACUUCAGAUAGCGAUUGCAGUGAUGGUUACGCGUGUACAAGGUGUUCACAACGUUUUACCGUAUUUGGACACUAUGAAUAUUGGGAAUGCUCUGUGUUUUGAAGUUUAGGAUUGUUCAACAUCUUAUUAACAAGUGCACGGUUACUGAUGCAGGCUAUUUUGAAACUAUCCUUUGGACAAGUUAAAUAAUGUUUGUGUAACAAAAAUAAAUAUGUAACCUUUUAAGUUUUUCAAAUCUUGAGAAACUAUUCGCUUUAAUAAGUUACUGAUGAAAGUUAUUUUAUGACUA